Molecule: ribosomal RNA, 448 nt
Filed under: Thalassoma amblycephalum (blunt-headed wrasse)
Lineage: Eukaryota; Metazoa; Chordata; Actinopteri; Labriformes; Labridae
Description: partial 12S ribosomal RNA
Rfam family: Bacterial small subunit ribosomal RNA (bases 1-363)
Source: RNAcentral
UUUUCUUGCUCAUUCCGCCUAUAUACCACCGUCGUCAGCUUACUCUUUGAGGAACCAGCCGUAAGCGCAACUGGUACAACCUAAAACGCCAGGUCGAGGUGUAGCGAAUGGAAAGGGAAGAAAUGGGCUACAUUCAAUAACAAUAAUGCAUACGAACGAUGUUCUGAAAUAAACAUCUGAAGGAGGAUUUAGUAGUAAGUAGAGAGCAGAGUGCUCUGCUGAAGCCGGCCCUGAAGCGCGUACACACCGCCCGUCACUCUCCCCGAGCUAACCAUACAAAUUUAUAAUAAGCAAAACUUGCAAAGGGGAGGCAAGUCGUAACAUGGUAAGUGUACCGGAAGGUGCGCUUGGCAAAACCCGAAAGUGAAGCAAACACAAAAAUAAGCCCCUCGAACCCUGAGGAAGCAUCUGUGCAAAUCAGAUCACUAUUGACCUAACUUUAGACACG